GCGGAAAUAGCUCAAACGGGCAGAGCGCCUCGUUGCCGACGAGGAGGCUGUGGGUUCGAGCCCCACUUUUCGCACCA
RNAcentral lists this transfer RNA (77 nucleotides) under Calidithermus terrae. RNAcentral's name for it is "Meiothermus terrae tRNA-Gly". It matches the Rfam family "tRNA". Rfam says of the family: Transfer RNA (tRNA) molecules are approximately 80 nucleotides in length. Their secondary structure includes four short double-helical elements and three loops (D, anti-codon, and T loops). The record is from RNAcentral. Lineage: Bacteria; Thermotogati; Deinococcota; Deinococci; Thermales; Thermaceae. RNAcentral also lists the same sequence under 1 other name.